UCGAACGGCAGCACAGGAGAGCUUGCUCUCUGGGUGGCGAGUGGCGGACGGGUGAGGAAUACAUCGGAAUCUACUCUGUCGUGGGGGAUAACGUAGGGAAACUUACGCUAAUACCGCAUACGACCUACGGGUGAAAGCAGGGGAUCUUCGGACCUUGCGCGAUUGAAUGAGCCGAUGUCGGAUUAGCUAGUUGGCGGGGUAAAGGCCCACCAAGGCGACGAUCCGUAGCUGGUCUGAGAGGAUGAUCAGCCACACUGGAACUGAGACACGGUCCAGACUCCUACGGGAGGCAGCAGUGGGGAAUAUUGGACAAUGGGCGCAAGCCUGAUCCAGCCAUACCGCGUGGGUGAAGAAGGCCUUCGGGUUGUAAAGCCCUUUUGUUGGGAAAGAAAUCCAGCUGGCUAAUACCCGGUUGGGAUGACGGUACCCAAAGAAUAAGCACCGGCUAACUUCGUGCCAGCAGCCGCGGUAAUACGAAGGGUGCAAGCGUUACUCGGAAUUACUGGGCGUAAAGCGUGCGUAGGUGGUCGUUUAAGUCCGUUGUGAAAGCCCUGGGCUCAACCUGGGAACUGCAGUGGAUACUGGGCGACUAGAGUGUGGUAGAGGGUAGCGGAAUUCCUGGUGUAGCAGUGAAAUG
This 637-nucleotide ribosomal RNA is filed under the name uncultured Pseudomonadota bacterium. RNAcentral's name for it is "bacterial SSU rRNA". It matches the Rfam family "Bacterial small subunit ribosomal RNA", at positions 62 to 688 of the family's 1533-position model. The record is from RNAcentral. Lineage: Bacteria; Pseudomonadati; Pseudomonadota.